GAUGAACGCUAGCGACAGGCUUAACACAUGCAAGUCGCGGGCUAGCAGGGGUGUUGCUUGCACCCCCUGACGGCGACCGGGUCACUAGCGAGUAACCCGUAUCCAACCUGCCCUUCACCACCGGACAACACGGCGGAAUACUACCCCAUACGGUAUCUUAUCGAUUUCUUUAAUCCGUUAAAGACGAAAGGCUGGGUGGGGUGGGCGUGGGUCUGCGUCCGAUUAGCGUGACGGCGGGGUAACGGCCCACCGUGGCUACGAUCGGUAGGGGUUCUGAGAGGAAGGUCCCCCACACUGGAACUGAGACACGGUCCAGACUCCUACGGGAGGCAGCAGUAAGGAAUAUUGGUCAAUGGGCGAAAGCCUGAACCAGCCAAGUAGCGUGCAGGAUGACGGCCCUAUGGGUUGUAAACUGCUUUUGUGAGGGGAUAAUGUGGGCGACGUGUGGGCUUUUGCAGGUACCGCAUGAAUAAGGACCGGCUAAUUCCGUG
RNAcentral lists this ribosomal RNA (491 nucleotides) under uncultured bacterium. Its description in RNAcentral is "partial 16S ribosomal RNA". It matches the Rfam family "Bacterial small subunit ribosomal RNA", at positions 28 to 507 of the family's 1533-position model. The record is from RNAcentral.